Panonychus citri (citrus red mite) is the source of this 2929-nucleotide long non-coding RNA. RefSeq lists it as uncharacterized. The record is from RefSeq and is a predicted model, not a curated record. NCBI's taxonomy places the organism in Eukaryota, Metazoa, Arthropoda, Arachnida, Trombidiformes, Tetranychidae. The transcript is spliced from 6 exons.
GUAUUCAAUGUAUUCGUUAGAAAUCAACUAAUUGUCCUAAUAUCAAUAGCAAUUGAAUAGCAUUUCAGUAAUCAAAUUUUGAUGAAGAAAUCAAGAAAUUCAUUUCAAAGAAUAAUUUAAAAAGGUUGUUAACUCCUAAUAAUUACGUUCUUAACAAUUAAUAAUCAAAUGACGAAAAUGAUCAAGAAACAAAAUCGACAAUUUAAUCCAAUACGAAUACGAUUCUAUUAAUAUCCAGUCUGAGUAACACUUCAAACAUGACAACAACUUUGCCUUUGUGCCCUCAAGGCUCUCAACUGACCACUCAGAUUUUUUUUCCCUUAAUAGUGACAAUCACUUUGAGUUUACAUAUUGGUUAAUCAUCCGUAGUGAUUAAAGUUAAUUGAGAGUAAUCAUGUUGGUGGAAGAAGAGAGUGAUAAAAAUGAUAAGUUAUCAAUUGAGUGUCAAAACGCAAAAGAUUAAUAAACGACGAGAUUAAAGAAAAUGUUCAACGAGUCUAAUUUUUACUCGAAUCUUGAUCAAUAUUAAUAUCAAAUAGUUGCAGAACUUUAAUUGCAAUAGUAACAAUCAAUUAAUCUCACAGCUUUCAGGUUGUUGCUGUUCUCUCCUCGAUUCUUUCAAUCCAUUGUUUGAUUUUGGUCAAAUUGAUAUUCACAAAAAGAAGUAAAAGUUUGUAUUCUAUUCCAAGAGAUGGCGACACAUGUAACAUUUUCUUCAACCCGAUUGGCGCUUUUUCUUUAUGUUUUGCUUUAAUUGUGAUCUAAUUACUUGGUUUAAUUUAACUUCUAAUUAAUAAUUAGCGAGGAAAGGCAGUUAUUUAAUUUUCCUCAAGGUUAACCAGUAGAGUUAAUUUGGUAAGAUGACUUGUUUUAAUAUCUUUUGACGGUCAAUUUGAAAAUCUGGUUGGUCUUAUAAACAAUAAUCUAAAUCUACUGUUGCUUUUGUUAUGUGACAUUGUUUUAGAAACAGGACAAUACUGCCCAUUGUUGAGGUAAAUUGAAAAGAACGGUAACACUUUAUCUACAUGUUGCUUCUGCUGCUAUUGUUAAUACUAUUAUCAAGAAAUUUCUCACGAUGCUGAUCGCGAUGAUUAAGUUAUAUUAUUUUAAAGAGUAGAGAGAAAGAGAGAGAGAGCGAGAUGAAAAAACGAUCAACUGGAUUGUUGUGAUUUGAUUGAAAGGUUGGUCAACAGUUUGGGAAUGGAAAAGGUCAUAAGGCAGUAACACAUUCUUUGAUGAUCACUGGUCACACUAUCGUCAAAAACAACAAAUCAACAAGUUAAUAAAUUGACAAAUGCUAGUCAAUCCAUUUACUUCAACUGUUUGGAACCAUUUUACGAUUUUCAUUUUACAUUUAAAUUUACUCGUCAAUGUUUUUAAGCGUGUUACAAGGCCUUCUGGUUAUUGUAUCACCAUCAUCACCACCACCACCAACAACAACAACAACAACAUCAACAUCAUCAUGACUAUCAUCAUUAUCUUCUUAUUCACCAUCAACACGAUCUCUCUUCCUUCAAUUUCUACUCCUCGUCAACUCGUUUGGUUGGAUUAGGCAGCAAAAGCAACAACAGAAAACAAGCAAAAAAAAACAGGCUUGUUUUCAAUCUCAUCUUCAAUCAAUAUUCAAUAUGAACGAGAUUAUAAAUAAUACUUUUUCAUGAGGUUUAUUUAGAUUGUUAACUUGUAUAAUAUGCAUCGUGAACAUCGUGAAACAUCAACAAGCCCGUUUUUUUUUGCUUUUUCUUGUUUAACCCUUAAAAUAAUGUUACCAAACUGACUAAGUACAUUUUCAGGUAUUAACUCUUUCUAAUUCUCUUUCUUUCUCAGUCGUUCUUUCUUUAGAUUGGAUUCUCUUCCUGCGAAGAUGAUCUCAUCGAUGUUACCUGUUGAUAACCUGGAAUGAGCCAAAAAAGCGAGUGAAAAGAGAGAGAGGAUCUGAAGGAAAAAUGUUUCGCAUCAGAUACAAACAAUAUCAAAAUGAGAAUCACCAAAAGUAAAGAGUUGGAGUAAACAUAUUUGGCUAUGUUUCUAUUAAUGAUGAUUACUUUUUGAUGAUCAUCAUGUAAUCAUAACCAUGAUAAUCAUUAAUAUUAUCAUUAAAAAAAAUGAGUUAAAUCAAGACAGGAAGGGAAUUAUUAUAAUAUACCCAUGGAAAUGGUGUAAAAAUGAUUUGGAAAGCUGAAAUAUUAUUAUCGUUCUUGAUGAUAUUUUCCAUGAGCUGAUUUUUACUUGGGAUUUGAUCAACAAAGAUGACGAUUCAGACAGUGAAACUGAAAAUUUAUUAAAUCAAAAUUUUUGUCACCAAUUUUCAUGGAAAAUAUUUUGGCCAAAAAUCACACACAAAAAGCAGAGUUAUACUCUAGUGUCACGCGACUUUAUAUUGGACUGACGAGAUGAAUACAUUGAGAGAAGAGACAGAAAAUCAGAAAAAAAGUUGAAUGAACAGAUUAGUUGAAGAUGAAAAUUCAUCAUAAUCUCAUAUCAUCAACAUCCACCAUCACCUUCAUCAAAAAAAAAGAAACAUCAAAGAUCAACAUGGUUACAUUUAUCUGGUUGGAAAAAGUAAAACAUUUUUUCAUCAUCAACAUAAACAUGAACAUCACCUAAUCAUCUAAAUGGAAGCCAAAAGAUGCCAAGUAAAAAAAUGAAUAGAAAUUAAUUCCUGAAGAGAUGAGAGAAGAGGAAAAUUCUCAUGUGAAAAAAGGCCUGUCAACAGGGUUACUUUUUUUCUCUUAAACUUUUUCUCUUCCCUAUCAUUUUAUAUACAUUUUUAAGCUUCUUAUUCAUGAAUUUGAUUCUGUUUCACAAUCAUCAUGUUUCUGUCCUCUCUGCGUCUUUCACCCUUCAUGUUGCUCCAUGAUAAUCAGCAGAAAUAAAUAACAAAAGCACCAAGAAGAAGGAAAAAAAUUAAAGACAUAUAACGGCUUGA